This 1445-nucleotide ribosomal RNA is filed under the name uncultured Bordetella sp. Its description in RNAcentral is "partial 16S-23S ribosomal RNA intergenic spacer". It matches the Rfam family "Bacterial small subunit ribosomal RNA". The record is from RNAcentral. Lineage: Bacteria; Pseudomonadati; Pseudomonadota; Betaproteobacteria; Burkholderiales; Alcaligenaceae.
GUUCGAUUAUGGCUCGGGUGAACGCUGGCGGGAUGCUUUACACAUGCAAAGUCGAGCAGCGGCACGGACUUCGGUCCUGGUGGCGGUGGCGAACGGGUGAGUAAUGUAUCGGAACGUGCCUGGUGGCUGAGGGGAUAACUGCGGCAGCAGCUAAUACCGCAUACGCCCUUCGAAGCGGGGGACCUUCCGGGCCCUCUGCUAAUGGGAAGCGGCCGAUAUCGGAUUAGCUGGUUAGUGCAGAGUAACGGCUCACCGGUGACGAUCGUCGACUGGUUGAGACGACCAGCCACACUGGGACUGAGACACGGCGGACUCUACGGGAGGCAGCAGUGGGGAAUUUUGGACAAUGGAAGCCUGAUCAGCCAUCCGAUGCGAUGAAGGCCUUCGGGUUGUAAAGCACUUUUGGCAGGAAAGAAACGGCUGGGAUAAUACCCCGUGCAACUGACGAAAACACCUGCAGAAUAAGCACCGGCUAACUACGUGCCAGUAGCGGUAAUACGUAGGGUGCAAGCGUUAAUCGGAAUUACUGGGCGUAAAGGCGUGCGCGAGCGGUUCGGAAAGAAAGAUGUGAAAUCCCAGGCUUAACUUUGGAACUGCAUUUUUAACUACCGAGCUGGUGUGUCAGAGGAGGUGGAAUUCCGCGUGUAGCAGUGAAAUGCGUGGGUAUGCGGAGGAACACCGUUGGCGAAGGCAAUAUCUGGAUGUUACUGACGCUCAUGCCGAAAGCGUGGGGAGCAAGGCUGGAUUAGAUGCUACUGGUAGUCCACGCCCUAAACGAUGUCAACUAGUAACUGUUGGGGCCUUCGGGCCUUGGUAGAAGCGCAGCUAACGCGUGAAGUUGACCUGCUUGCAAGAAUUUUGAAUAGCAAGAUUAAAACUCGAAUUGACAGGGACCCGCACAAGCGGUGGAUGAUGUGGAUUAAUUCGAUCGCGCGAAGAGCCUUACCUGCUGUGUCUGGACCCGAAGAGAUUUGGGAGUGCUCGCAAGAGAACCGGAACUGGGCUGCAUGGCUGUCGUCAGCUCGUGUCGUGAGAUGCUGGGUUAAGUCCGUAACGAGCGCAACCCUUGUCGUGGUUGCUACGAAAGGGCACUCUAAUGAGACUGCCGGUGACAAACCGGAGGAAGGUGGGAUGGCGUCAAGUCCUCAUGGCCCUUAUGGGUAGGAACUGCGUCAUGCAGACUGGUCGGGACAGAGGGUCGCCAACCGCGGGGAGCCAAUCCAGAGCCGAUCGUAGUCCGGAUCGCAGUCUGCAACUCGACUGCGUGAAGUCGGAAUCGCUAUCGUCGGAUCAGCAUGUCGCGGUGAAUACGUUCUGGUGUAUGCACACCGCCCGUCACACCAUGGGAGUGGGUUUUACCAGAAGUAGUUAGCCUAACCGUAAGGAGAACGGUGUACCACGGUAGGAUUCGCUUGGACUUAAGGGUGAAGUCGUAACAAAGGUAG